This 401-nucleotide ribosomal RNA is filed under the name uncultured soil bacterium. Its description in RNAcentral is "bacterial SSU rRNA". It matches the Rfam family "Bacterial small subunit ribosomal RNA", at positions 26 to 453 of the family's 1533-position model. The record is from RNAcentral.
AGAACGAACGCUGGCGGCAUGCCUAAUACAUGCAAGUCGAACGAACACUUCGGUGUUAGUGGCGCACGGGUGCGUAACGCGUGGGAAUCUGCCCUUGGGUUCGGAAUAACAGUUGGAAACGACUGCUAAUACCGGAUGAUAUCGAAAGAUCAAAGAUUUAUCGCCCAGGGAUGAGCCCGCGUAGGAUUAGCUAGUUGGUGAGGUAAAGGCUCACCAAGGCGACGAUCCUUAGCUGGUCUGAGAGGAUGAUCAAGCCACACUGGGACUGAGACACGGCCCAGACUCCGUACGGGAGCAGCAGUAGGGAAUAUGGACAAGUGGGCGCAAGCUAGAUCCAGCAAUGCCGCGUGAGUGAGUGAAGGUCCUUAGGGUGUAAAGUCUUCUUUACCGAUAUAGAUAAG